Long non-coding RNA from Leptidea sinapis, 5742 nucleotides. RefSeq lists it as uncharacterized. NCBI's taxonomy places the organism in Eukaryota, Metazoa, Arthropoda, Insecta, Lepidoptera, Pieridae. The record is from RefSeq and is a predicted model, not a curated record. The transcript has 3 exons.
AUUCAACUUACCGAGCGAGAGAGAGGCAACGGAGGAGAACUUUUCACGAUUGAACCGGCUUUUGGCCGAGUUGUACGAUGUUCUGUGCCACAUAUUGGUGGCCCGGCAGCCUGGUCAAGAAACACAGGAAGGCCAUCGAGAUCGCCCGUUCUCCGAAUCAGACAUCGAAAGACCGCGGCCCUCUGAAGCGCUUCUUCCUAGCCGAAGAUCAGCAUCUUCUCCACCACUAACUCUGCCGCUGGAGAUGGAUCUCGAUGACGACGUGUUCCUUCCUCGUUCGGAUGUUGGCAACAAUCCAUUCUCCACUACUAACAUAGAGAUAUUCAGAUACGGAAGUCCCAGGACCCCAGCUGGUGUUCUGCUGAGUCCCAGAAGGGAGACAGCGUUCAGUUUUUCCACUAACGAGAAGCACUGGAGGGAUAAAGGUGGGACAGGUGGCGCCAUCGAGGUUGAUGAGACUGACGCAUCUGCUAACUACAACGAGACGACAACGGAGAGCUCCCUUUUUUCCUCGAUAAUACCGGACAAGGUUUCUGGCUCUAUAUGUACUGCUGUCAUUUUCAUGAUCGGAUGGAAACUGCUGAGCAAUAAACGCUGAAUUUAAUGUUUUAUGAAUCAAGGAUUAACGAUAUAUCUUGUCAUGUUAUUCAGAAGGGCGUUUUUUUAAACACUUUGUACUAAAUUUUUGUAAGUUUUACUUAAUGAUGCCAAAUAUUAACUAUGUAUUUAUUUGAGCCAACAACAAACACUGGUGAAAAUAUUUUUUUUUUGACUUAUGAAUGAAGAACCUGAAAUGAGCGAGCAUAAUGUAAAUGCAAAUUAAUGUCUUAUUUGUAUAAGACAUAAAGAUCAAAAAUCUAUGGCAAUUAAAUUAUGACCGGGUUACGUAGGUUUGGUUUUUUGGAAUUAGGUGACUAACGGCUUCAUUUCAUCGGGUCGACUGGUUCCGUCACAACAUAGCCCUAAGAAUACAAGUGAUCACCACCGCUUAUCACAUCUAUUCUAAUUCGUCGGCAAUCUGUAUUACUUUUACUUCAAAUACUAAAAUGAUAAAAAUUGCAGUUGAAAUAUUUGCUCCUAACUUCAACCCUGUUUCAUUAUCUCGCCGUAAACUAACCGGCAAAUAACGGAAAGCAGCCGAUAAGGCUCUAAAUAAUUUGUGAAAGAGCGACAUCUCAAGUCAAUUUCCUAAUAUGCAAUUAUAGGGGUUGAGCAGGUUAUCAACUGUCAAGUAAAUGAGAUAAACCCGAUAAAUUUUGGUUAUAAUUUUUUUUGUAUGAUAAGUCUCUCUCAUUAGCAUAUAGGAAAACCGGUUUACAAGGAGCUUUCUUCCACGUAAUACAAAGCUGUGGAAUGAACUUCCUUGUGCGGUGUUUCCGGGACGAUACGACAUGGGUACCUUUAAAAAAAGCGCGUACACCUUCCUUAAAGGCUGGCAACGUUGCUGUGAUUCCUCUGGUGUUGCAACAACAACAGCAGGUGACCCAUAAAAAAAAAACGUGUUUUUAUCAAUCUAGACCUUAAAAUCUUCAAAAGCAACUGUUUAUGUUUGCAGUGUGGUUAUUUCAUAUAAAUAACUUUUGGUUUUAUUAUUUUAAAUAUUACAAGGGGUGAAAUACGAAUGAAAUAAUUUUAACAUAUCAUGCAUUGCGCAUGAACCUAUAAUCUAUAUAAACAUGUACCAGGACUUCAUAUGCAGAAGCCCUGGUACAUGUUGCUAGGAUGACACAUGAUUUCAACCGCUUUGAAAGACAUUACUAUCACCGCUACCACAUUUAUGUUCUCCUGGUCUAGUUAUUACUAGUUAUUACCUCGUGCGCAUGACGUCAGAAUAUGUUAAGGUAUACUCGCGUCGUACAUAAGACAAUCUCUUCUUUAACUAUGAUCGCCUGGUAUCAAAACACUGUUUAUUGAUUCCUUUCUCAUUCUCUCGCCGGCAGAAUCCUACCUUUUUUUGUCUCUAUCGUCUCGCUUUUUCGUUUCAUCGAGUUUCAAAUCACAAUGAUUCUAAAGAAGUUUCACUUCACCAAAGUAGACAGUUUUUGCGUCGUUUUAACUGUUUGCUCUACGAAAUUUUGCAGUAAUUAUUAAUAUGAAGUAAACAUUAAGUUUAUUUAUUAGACUUAAUUUUGAAAGUUUAUAAUAUUUUCAAGGCAUUUCUUUAUAAUAAUAAUAAUGUUCAGACGGAAAAUUUGUUUGUUAUGGAAAAUUGCAUCUUGAUGGUUUUGCGCAUUUUUUUGUCUGGUAUUGGGGAAAAGGGUAUUGUGACUGUCCGCUCUUAAAAGGAAAUAUCCAAUAAAUGCACAAAAAUAAAAUGAUAGAAGCUGAUAUUAACAAAAACUAGUUUUAAAAUGGCAUCAUUAAAUAAACUUACUAUUACGCACAUUGUAAAAUUAUUUUAAAUUUUAGAGUAUAGUAUAAAUGUUAGUGAUGUAUAACAUAGUAAUUCCCGCUUAGUAUAAAUUAUAAUAAACAUUAUCAUUAAUUCAUUAUUAUGCAUAUUGUGUGAACAUAUUAACACGAGUGACAUUAUGAGUGUACCAUAUAAUAUACUAUGCUCAUAUAUAUAUAUAUAUUCAAUUUGUCUACAUACUACAUUUAUUAACUAUGAUACAGUAUUAUACAAGAAUUAUGUAAGUGUUAUAUAGCCAAAGUAGAAUAUUACAAUUAUAUACAUAAUGUCAAAAAGAGCGCAAAAAAAGAAUGCUGGGAGAGUUUCUUGCGCCGCUUCUUCUCUCUCAGAGCGCCAUUUGUUUCCGAAGCGGUAGUAGUAUCUAGCAUAUAAGAAAUGACAUCAUAAAAUAUUCUAAAGUAAUCAAUUAUUAUGAGAAAAUAAAUGACUUUUAUACCUUUAUGCAUGCUUUAGGACUGCAUCGACAAUAGACUUACAAUAUACUAUCGUAUAUACUAACAAAGCGUGCGAGAGAGAAGAACUUCACUAACGGAUACAGCAUGAUAGAUAAGCAAAUCUAUUGUGCCUGUCACUGAUUUUGAUUGACGGAUCGUAAACUGUCAGCCACGCUCGACAUUAGCUACUUAGUAUUUUGAAUAUUAAACUACCAGCUAACGCACACAUUGGCGAAUUAAAAUUGGUCACACAGUCUCUAUGUACCGGGCUGUCAGGUUGUCGAAAUGCUAGUAUAUUUUAAGUCUAUGGCAUGUUUUUUGUUUAGUUGCCGGGUGCAGGCAACUAGGAAAUUCAUAAAUUUUCUCCUUACGAAAUUAUUUACUGUGAUAUUUGGUUAUAUAACAUUUAUAUUUUAACUUAAGUACUUAAAUAUAUUCAAUAAUAUUUAAAUAUUAUCACAUUCCGCUUUCAGUGUUGUCGUACGUAGAUAUAAAUAAUUGUAAGGAAUAUUUGAAUUUCUCAUCUGAAUAAAGUUUUCACAAUAUAAUCCAAAGAAAUCAGCCUAAAAUUGUCAUUGAUUGAUCUCACUAUGUUUUGUAAUGAAAGUUUAUUUUAGAUUUUAGAUAAAGAUACUGAUAUACGACUAAUAGGAGUAGGGAAAUCGAAACUAUCUGAAUAUUCGAAGCGUACGUGAAAUUUCGGAAAAUUAUAAUGGCGUAAAUCACUUCGCUACUAAUAUUGUAGGAUUUGCAUUAUGCUUUUAAUCCGAAUAAGAAUUUCACAGAUCAAUUUGCAGCGUGUAUUUUUAUUGAUAAUUAAAUUAACAUCUCUGAAAACUUAGAUUAUGUAUUGGUCUCCGCUGCGCUCCAACUAGAUACCGCAGGCGUGGUCGCAGAGUGCGGCAACUAAUACUAUGAUAAAGUGGGCGUACUCGAGCCAGUCUCAAAUAAUGUGUGGCGCUGCCGUGCCACAAUGUUUAACUUUGCUAAUAAUGGAAACUAAAAUAUAAAUAUAAUACUGCAAGAAAUAAGAUUGACACUGGGAUACCGACAGUAAGUAUUUUGUAUUUUAUUAAUCUAAUAUAUAAAAUUCUCGUGUCAUGGUGUUAAAUAUUGAACUCGUCCGAAACGGCUUGACCGAUUCUCGUGAAAUUUUGAGUGCAUAUUGGGUAGGUCUGAGAAUCAGACAUCAUCUAUUUUACAUUCCCCUAAAUGUUAAAUAAUGUUAAUGUUAUGUUUUCCACACGAUUUUUUUUUAAUUUGUUUGAUUAUGAGUCAGCAUUAAAAAAUACAUACAACUUCAAAUUUUCACCCAUCUACGAUCAACAGUUACUUUUGUAUCACGAUUUUAAUAUCGGCAAUACAACGUUUGCUGGGUCAGCUAGUUUCAAUGUAAAAUAGCACGAAGCGUAUUAAAACAUAAAAUUUGAAAGAUGCUAUUGAGUGUCAAGAUGCCACGCAAACAAGCAUCUAAAAGUUGCCGUAAUAAAAAAGUUAUUGUCCUUAGGUAGUACGGUAUCUAGCGGGAGCGCAGCGGAGACCAAUCCUUAAUCUAAGUCUGAAAAGAAAUUUAGUGUUUCGAUUUCUUAUAACAUCCUGUUGCGUAUGAGAAUUACGACCGAAAACUUAAACGCUGCUUAAGUUUAACUACAGAUUAAAGCCUUUGAUAGAACAGUGAAAUUAAGGUAUUUUUAAAGAUAAUUAACAUCAAAAAUUUAACCAGCGUUUUAGUGUUAAAGUCAGGUGUCAUACGCAGACCAAAGUUAUAAGCUAUCAGUUAAUUAACGCCCCUUGUUGACCCAAAAUAUUUCAUAGACAAAAGAUGAAUAUUUAAAUUUUGGUAUAGCUUUGCAGAUUCGCUUAACUAAAACUAAUUGGGUUCCAAUCUCAGAUUCUUAUGUGUCGGUUCAUCGGUGCAAUGCGAUGUUACCGUUGUCAUAUCGCGAUGUGCUUGAUCAUAGAUCAUUUUGUGAUACGUUACGGCGUAAUGGACAAGUUGAUCACUACAGCAGUCUCUGAUGGGGGUUCUUCAAAUGUUGUAAUUAAUUUUCUAGCUUAGCGUUUUGGUCUACGUAUUGAAUAUAAUUCAAAAAUAGUUUAUUUUAAUAACAUAUUAUAUAUUGUCUUAUUUAACCUAAAUAUUUAACCAUUAAAACGAUCUGCACUAAGAAAUUAUUAAUCAUUAAGUAUCAUAUAUUUAUAAAUAGUAUAAGGUUUUGUUACCGUCUAGAUUGAUUUUUAAUUAAUUUAUAUUUUAAAUAUACUGUAUAUAAUGGUCUAACACGAAGACACAUGAUCGUACAAUAUAAUAAUAGGUGCGCAUCUGUAACUGGGCACAGUCAAUAGCAUACAUGCUAUAAGAACUCCGAUAAGAACCGUCUACAGUAUAACGUCGUUACAGAAAAAUCUUAGGCAGGAUUUAGUGCUCGACCGACUACGGUCAAUGCUCACGCUGACAAUGCUACGUUUAGUGCUCAGCUGACAGCAAAUUUGAUUAGUCGCCAUAGCACGUCAGCGGACCGAUGUCCCUCGACAGCGCGACGUACGUAGUAAUCGUAGCAUAGCUAUAACAAUAAAAACUUAAUAUGAUCGCGUUCAGUCCAGCGCUGAUGAAUUGCUACGCUCGUAUAUCUACGUCGCGCUGACGAGAAGAGUCGGUCAUUCUCGUCGCGGUCGGUCCGCUGACUGAGCAACCGACUGUAGGCGCGUUCGUAACAAUGUUAUCAAAAAUCGUUAAAAUUAUGGUCCUGGCAAUUUAAAACAUAUUGUAUAAUUUUUUCUUCAAUUUGACGCUCUAUAAUAAUUGGGUAUACAAUAUACCUUCUCCGCCUUUUAUUCCAGAAUCGGUUGCAUAAGUAGUACGCACAUAUUAAAUAGGUUCAUUCAUUUUUCUUC